Long non-coding RNA from Juglans microcarpa x Juglans regia, 270 nucleotides. RefSeq lists it as uncharacterized. NCBI's taxonomy places the organism in Eukaryota, Viridiplantae, Streptophyta, Magnoliopsida, Fagales, Juglandaceae. The record is from RefSeq and is a predicted model, not a curated record. The transcript has 2 exons.
AAAACAAAUUAUAAUAUUUUGUUCUCAUGUUUUCUACGUAACUUCUCUCUGAAUUCAAUGCCAAGUUGUUUACUGAUGUAACAUAAUAAUGAGGUCAGCCCUAAGUUGUCUACUGAUGAAACACAAAAAUGAGGUCACAUCUUGCAGAAUCAUGCGAAGAUUUCAUCAUCAUGAAUUUAUUCCAAGGCAGUAACCAAUUUAGCAUUUGCAAAUUCAAGUUCUACAUACCUCAGCUUCAUCCUUGGUCAUUCCUUCCUUCCAUGCUUGAUC